This 243-nucleotide ribosomal RNA is filed under the name uncultured Planctomycetales bacterium. RNAcentral describes it as "partial 16S ribosomal RNA". It matches the Rfam family "Bacterial small subunit ribosomal RNA", at positions 431 to 665 of the family's 1533-position model. Lineage: Bacteria; Pseudomonadati; Planctomycetota; Planctomycetia; Planctomycetales. The record is from RNAcentral.
GAUUGUCGGGAGUUAGGAAAUGCGGAGGUGUUAAUAGCGCUUUCGCUUGACUAAAGCUCCAGAGGAAGCCACGGCUAACUCUGUGCCAGCAGCCGCGGUAAUACAGAGGCGGCAAGCGUUGUUCGGAAUUAUUGGGCGUAAAGAGCACGUAGGCGGCUCUGCAAGUCAGCUGUGAAAGCCUUCUGCUUAACGGAAGAACGGCAGUUGAAACUACAGGGCUUGAGUGCGGGAGGGGAGAGGGAA